This 604-nucleotide ribosomal RNA is filed under the name Xerocomus ferrugineus. RNAcentral describes it as "eukaryotic LSU rRNA". The stretch from base 195 to 349 matches the Rfam family "5.8S ribosomal RNA". The record is from RNAcentral. Lineage: Eukaryota; Fungi; Basidiomycota; Agaricomycetes; Boletales; Boletaceae.
GGAUCAUUAUCGAAUAUGAUUCGAAGUGGGAGAGAGACUGUCGCCUGGCCAGAUCUUGGCAUGUGCACGUCCCCUCACCUUUUCUAUCUACACACACCUGUGCACCUAUUGUAGAUCCCUCUCGAAAGAGAGGGAACUAUGUUUUCAUCACAUCACACACAACGUAUGUCUAGAAUGUAAAAAACAAUAUAUACAACUUUCAGCAACGGAUCUCUUGGCUCUCGCAUCGAUGAAGAACGCAGCGAAUUGCGAUAAGUAAUGUGAAUUGCAGAUUUCCAGUGAAUCAUCGAAUCUUUGAACGCACCUUGCGCUCCUUGGUAUUCCGAGGAGCAUGCCUGUUUGAGUGUCAUCGAAUUCUCAACCAUUCUCUCUUUUCUGGGAGUAUGGCUUGGACUUGGGGGUUGCUGGCAGCACUGUCAGCUCUCCUUAAAUGUAUUAGCAAUCGAGUUGGCUAGUCUUUUGACGUACACGGCCUCGGACGUGAUAAUGAUCGUCGUGGCUGGAGCCUCUUUCCUAGACUAUGUACAUAGAUCGCUUCUAAUCUGUCGUCUAUCGAGCUUAGCUACUAGGCAGUCUUUUUGGCUGGCGAACGCAAGCGAGACAU